This 2479-nucleotide ribosomal RNA is filed under the name Streptomyces sp. NRRL F-7442. Its description in RNAcentral is "bacterial LSU rRNA". It matches the Rfam family "Bacterial large subunit ribosomal RNA", at positions 590 to 2925 of the family's 2925-position model. The record is from RNAcentral. Lineage: Bacteria; Bacillati; Actinomycetota; Actinomycetes; Kitasatosporales; Streptomycetaceae.
CUCGUGACUGCGUGCCUUUUGAAGAAUGAGCCUGCGAGUUUGCGGUGUGUUGCGAGGUUAACCCGGGUGGGGAAGCCGUAGCGAAAGCGAGUCCGAACAGGGCGGUUUUAGUAGCACGCUCAAGACCCGAAGCGGAGUGAUCUAGCCAUGGGCAGGUUGAAGCGGCUGUAAGAGGUCGUGGAGGACCGAACCCACCAGGGUUGAAAACCUGGGGGAUGACCUGUGGUUAGGGGUGAAAGGCCAAUCAAACUCCGUGAUAGCUGGUUCUCCCCGAAAUGCAUUUAGGUGCAGCGUCGUGUGUUUCUUGCCGGAGGUAGAGCACUGGAUAGGCGAUGGGCCCUACCGGGUUACUGACCUUAGCCAAACUCCGAAUGCCGGUAAGUGAGAGCGCGGCAGUGAGACUGUGGGGGAUAAGCUCCAUGGUCGAGAGGGAAACAGCCCAGAGCAUCGACUAAGGCCCCUAAGCGUACGCUAAGUGGGAAAGGAUGUGGAGUCGCACAGACAACCAGGAGGUUGGCUUAGAAGCAGCCACCCUUGAAAGAGUGCGUAAUAGCUCACUGGUCUAGUGAUUCCGCGCCGACAAUGUAGCGGGGCUCAAGCGUACCGCCGAAGUCGUGUCAUUGCAGCAAUACGGCCAACGCCGGCUGUGAUGGGUAGGGGAGCGUCGUGUGCCGGGUGAAGCAGCCGCGGAAGCGAGUUGUGGACGGUUCACGAGUGAGAAUGCAGGCAUGAGUAGCGAUACAAACGUGAGAAACGUUUGCGCCGAUUGACUAAGGGUUCCUGGGUCAAGCUGAUCUGCCCAGGGUAAGUCGGGACCUAAGGCGAGGCCGACAGGCGUAGUCGAUGGAUAACCGGUUGAUAUUCCGGUACCCGCUGUGAAGCGUCAAACAUCGAACCAGGCGAUGCUAAGUCCGUGAAGCCGCCCUUGAUCUCUUCGGAGUGAUGGGGAGUGGUGGAGCCGAUGAUCCAGACCUGUAGUAGGUGAGUGAUGGGGUGACGCAGGAAGGUAGUCCAUCCCGGGCGGUGGUUGUCCCGGGGUAAGGGUGUAGGACGUCAGGUAGGUAAAUCCGCCUGGCAUGUGUCUGAGACCUGAUGCCGAGCCGAUUGUGGUGAAGUGGAUGAUCCUAUGCUGUCGAGAAAAGCCUCUAGCGAGUUUCAUGGCGGCCCGUACCCUAAACCGACUCAGGUGGUCAGGUAGAGAAUACCGAGGCGUUCGGGUGAACUAUGGUUAAGGAACUCGGCAAAAUGCCCCCGUAACUUCGGGAGAAGGGGGGCCACACCUGGUGACGAUCUUUACGGUCUGAGCUGGGGGUGGCCGCAGAGACCAGCGAGAAGCGACUGUUUACUAAAAACACAGGUCCGUGCGAAGCCGUAAGGCGAUGUAUACGGACUGACGCCUGCCCGGUGCUGGAACGUUAAGGGGACCGGUUAGCUCCAUUUCGGUGGGGCGAAGCUGAGAACUUAAGCGCCAGUAAACGGCGGUGGUAACUAUAACCAUCCUAAGGUAGCGAAAUUCCUUGUCGGGUAAGUUCCGACCUGCACGAAUGGCGUAACGACUUCUCGACUGUCUCAACCAUAGGCCCGGUGAAAUUGCACUACGAGUAAAGAUGCUCGUUUCGCGCAGCAGGACGGAAAGACCCCGGGACCUUUACUACAGUUUGAUAUUGGUGUUCGGUUCGGCUUGUGUAGGAUAGCUGGGAGACUGUGAAGCUCGCACGCCAGUGUGGGUGGAGUCGUCGUUGAAAUACCAGUCUGGUCGUGCUGGAUGUCUAACCUGGGUCCGUGAUCCGGAUCAGGGACAGUGUCUGAUGGGUAGUUUAACUGGGGCGGUUGCCUCCUAAAGAGUAACGGAGGCGCCCAAAGGUUCCCUCAGCCUGGUUGGCAAUCAGGUGUUGAGUGUAAGUGCACAAGGGAGCUUGACUGUGAGACCGACGGGUCGAGCAGGGACGAAAGUCGGGACUAGUGAUCCGGCGGUGGCUUGUGGAAGCGCCGUCGCUCAACGGAUAAAAGGUACCCCGGGGAUAACAGGCUGAUCUUCCCCAAGAGUCCAUAUCGACGGGAUGGUUUGGCACCUCGAUGUCGGCUCGUCGCAUCCUGGGGCUGGAGUCGGUCCCAAGGGUUGGGCUGUUCGCCCAUUAAAGCGGUACGCGAGCUGGGUUUAGAACGUCGUGAGACAGUUCGGUCCCUAUCCGCUGUGCGCGUAGGAGUCUUGAGAAGGGCUGUCCCUAGUACGAGAGGACCGGGACGGACGAACCUCUGGUGUGCCAGUUGUUCUGCCAAGGGCAUGGCUGGUUGGCUACGUUCGGGAGGGAUAACCGCUGAAAGCAUCUAAGCGGGAAGCCUGCUUCGAGAUGAGGACUCCCACCCACUUGAUGGGGUAAGGCUCCCAGUAGACGACUGGGUUGAUAGGCCGGAUCUGGAAGCACCGUGAGGUGUGGAGGUGACCGGUACUAAUAGGCCGAGGGCUUGUCCUCAGUUG